GUCCAUCAGUCCCUCUGGUGAAAUAGUGGAGGGCAGUUCAGUGACUCUGACCUGCAGCAGUGAUGCAAACCCACCUGAGAAGAUCUACACCUGGUUUAAGAGAUCAGCGUCAAUAGGAGAAGGAAAAACCUACAGCAUUCCCAACAUCAGAUCUGAGGACAGUGGAGAAUACACAUGCCAGAGUCGGAAUGAUCUUGGACAGAGAAACUCCACUGCUUUGCAGAUAAAUGUUCUUUAUCCUCCAAAGAACUCAUUCAUUUAUGAAAGUUGCCUGUCUGUCUCUAUACAGGCUACCCCGUGAUUCUGUAUGUAGCUCUUGGAGUCGGACUCUGUUUUAUUUUUUUAGUCGUUCUCACUGCAGUUUUUUGGAGAUUUCGAGGAAGCAUCAAUGAGGCCAUCACCAUCCAUUUCAAAAGCUCUACCAAUCCUGAGUACACUAUGCAUUGACCUGCAGUCAAAAGUCAUGAUCACUGAAAAGAAGUGGAGGAGGGGAAAGACCUCUGACAUCACACAUCAUGGCAGAUGCUGAGAAAUUUUCAGAAAGCAGGUCGAGAUCUCACCCUGUCCAUUGGAUGACCUGAUGAUGUUUACUCUAUCAGCUGGGUGACACUGUUCUGAGAUCAGCACUGACAACAAGUGGUGGAGCUGGUUAAAGUCCUGCGGAGAGGUCAGUGCUCUCAAUGGUAAACAUUAUGAAGAACUUUAGUAUAAGAAAUGGGAAAUGAAAGGGGUUUGUGGUUUUACUGAUAGAUAAUUCUGUUUUUGCAGCAGAUUAUGCUGAUGUCUUGCUGCAGCAGAUGUCACAUGUACCCAGGCAGAGGAAGUUGGUAUAUUAAAAAAGUUUGAAUAAAGUGCAACAGCUUGCAGCGUCAUUAGUGUCAACCACAUGCAUUUGAACGGUUCAUGUAUCACCACAGCUUUCAUUUCUCGUCAGUUGGGCGUUGGUGAUGAGACUCUAUACAGAGCGGUAAGGCUGAUUCUUCAGAUCUGAGUAGGUUUAGUAA
This is a long non-coding RNA of Pygocentrus nattereri (red-bellied piranha), 1004 nucleotides long. RefSeq lists it as uncharacterized. The transcript is spliced from 4 exons. NCBI's taxonomy places the organism in Eukaryota, Metazoa, Chordata, Actinopteri, Characiformes, Serrasalmidae. The record is from RefSeq and is a predicted model, not a curated record.